UUUAUAUUUUAAGAAUGUGCUAGUCUGAACUCUGCUGUAUUGUAUAACACUAAACAUUGUUAAGUUUUUAUUUGCAGCAAAUAUGGUUUCAAUAACAAAUAAUUUCAACAAACAUAUUUUAAACAAGAAUGAACAUAUGUGAUCUCUCUCUAAUACAUUGUUACCACUCAUUUCUAAUGCUAAACAAACAAAAAAAUGUUUACAAAUUUAAGACACUACAAUGUCAUGUAGUGGUAAGGUGAACCUGUUAUUUAUGCAAAUGGCACCAUUUUUUUAAAGUAAUCUCUGAUGACCCUGCUUUAAUUACAAUAUAUUUAGAGGUCAGACUUGUCUAUAAAACAUCUAAUUCAUUGAAUUACAAAACAUUAACUGUGUGAAAAGAUCAACAUCUUGUAGUCAUGUGAUAGGAAUGACAUGCAACAUUAAAGUGAUGGUAAAAAUGGUCGAACUCGUGGUCAUUGCCUAUCUUGUAUUUUAUAAGUACAAUUAAUGUUUAACAUUUAGCUAAUGUACUUAAUGAUUUCUUGAACACUGACCAAAACAAAAUUAUUUCCAUUAACAUAAAGUAUUCUAUUUGGCCGCUGCACAUACAUUUUUCAGUUAUUUUCUGGAGCUCAAUAUCUUCACAUCCAAUAAGGACCUUACUAAAACAGCUUCUUUUUAUGAUGGCAUUAAAAGGUUUUUUUCCUUCAUCAUUUAAGUCCUUGAAGCAGUGUUACUUAUAGAUUAAAAAUAAAUAAAUUUUGUAAUGAAAAAUGUUGUGGCAUAUCUCUUCUGCUCCUAUGGUUAUCUAAAUUAUAUCCUUGUUAGUUCUUAAGUUCUAAAAAUUUAUUCACAAAUUCAUAAAAUGAACCAAAAGUUACACAGCUCUUAACAACCCCCCCCCCCCCCC
This is a non-coding RNA of Biomphalaria pfeifferi, 892 nucleotides long. The record is from the annotation of a GenBank genome assembly. NCBI's taxonomy places the organism in Eukaryota, Metazoa, Mollusca, Gastropoda, Planorbidae.